AUGCAAGUCGAACGAGAGAAGAGAAGCUUGCUUUUCUGAUCUAGUGGCGGACGGGUGAGUAACACGUGAGCAAUCUGCCUUUCAGAGGGGGAUACCGAUUGGAAACGAUCGUUAAUACCGCAUAAUAUAAUUGAACCGCAUGAUUUGAUUAUCAAAGAUUUAUCGCUGAAAGAUGAGCUCGCGUCUGAUUAGCUAGUUGGUAAGGUAACGGCUUACCAAGGCGACGAUCAGUAGCCGGACUGAGAGGUUGAUCGGCCACAUUGGGACUGAGACACGGCCCAGACUCCUACGGGAGGCAGCAGUGGGGAAUAUUGCACAAUGGAGGAAACUCUGAUGCAGCGAUGCCGCGUGAGGGAAGAAGGUUUUAGGAUUGUAAACCUCUGUCUUCAGGGACGAAAAAAGACGGUACCUGAGGAGGAAGCUCCGGCUAACUACGUGCCAGCAGCCGCGGUAAUACGUAGGGAGCGAGCGUUGUCCGGAAUUACUGGGUGUAAAGGGAGCGUAGGCGGGAUCGCAAGUCAGAUGUGAAAACUAUGGGCUUAACCCAUAAACUGCAUUUGAAACUGUGGUUCUUGAGUGAAGUAGAGGUAAGCGGAAUUCCUAGUGUAGCGGUGAAAUGCGUAGAUAUUAGGAGGAACAUCAGUGGCGAAGGCGGCUUACUGGGCUUUAACUGACGCUGAGGCUCGAAAGCGUGGGGAGCAAACAGGAUUAGAUACCCUGGUAGUCCACGCCGUAAACGAUGAUUACUAGGUGUGGGGGGACUGACCCCUUCCGUGCCGCAGCAAACGCAAUAAGUAAUCCACCUGGGGAGUACGACCGCAAGGUUGAAACUCAAAGGAAUUGACGGGGGCCCGCACAAGCAGUGGAGUAUGCGGAUUAAUUCGAAGCAACGCGAAGAACCUUACCAGGUCUUGACAUCGUAUGCAUAGCUCA
Molecule: ribosomal RNA, 933 nt
Filed under: uncultured bacterium
Lineage: Bacteria
Description: bacterial SSU rRNA
Rfam family: Bacterial small subunit ribosomal RNA
Source: RNAcentral